RNAcentral lists this ribosomal RNA (1444 nucleotides) under uncultured bacterium. Its description in RNAcentral is "16S ribosomal RNA". It matches the Rfam family "Bacterial small subunit ribosomal RNA". The record is from RNAcentral.
GCUAGCUACAGGCUUAACACAUGCAAGUCGAGGGGCAGCAUGGUCUUAGCUUGCUAAGGCCGAUGGCGACCGGCGCACGGGUGAGUAACACGUAUCCAACCUGCCGUCUACUCUUGGACAGCCUUCUGAAAGGAAGAUUAAUACAAGAUGGCAUCAUGAGUCCGCAUGUUCACAUGAUUAAAGGUAUUCCGGUAGACGAUGGGGAUGCGUUCCAUUAGAUAGUAGGCGGGGUAACGGCCCACCUAGUCUUCGAUGGGUAGGGGUUCUGAGAGGAAGGUCCCCCACAUUGGAACUGAGACACGGUCCAAACUCCUACGGGAGGCAGCAGUGAGGAAUAUUGGUCAAUGGGCGAGAGCCUGAACCAGCCAAGUAGCGUGAAGGAUGACUGCCCUAUGGGUUGUAAACUUCUUUUAUAAAGGAAUAAAGUCGGGUAUGGAUACCCGUUUGCAUGUACUUUAUGAAUAAGGAUCGGCUAACUCCGUGCCAGCAGCCGCGGUAAUACGGAGGAUCCGAGCGUUAUCCGGAUUUAUUGGGUUUAAAGGGAGCGUAGAUGGAUGUUUAAGUCAGUUGUGAAAGUUUGCGGCUCAACCGUAAAAUUGCAGUUGAUACUGGAUAUCUUGAGUGCAGUUGAGGCAGGCGGAAUUCGUGGUGUAGCGGUGAAAUGCUUAGAUAUCACGAAGAACUCCGAUUGCGAAGGCAGCCUGCUAAGCUGCAACUGACAUUGAGGCUCGAAAGUGUGGGUUUCAAACAGGAUUAGAUACCCUGGUAGUCCACACGGUAAAACGAUGAAUACUCGCUGUUUGCGAUAUACAGCAAGCGGCCAAGCGAAAGGCGUUAAGUAUUCCACCUGGGGAGUACGCCGGAAACGGUGAAACUCAAAGGAAUUGACGGGGGCCCGCACAAGCGGAGGAACAUGUGGUUUAAUUCGAUGAUACGCGAGGAACCUUACCCGGGCUUAAAUUGCAGAUGAAUUACGGUGAAAGCCGUAAGCCGCAAGGCAUCUGUGAAGGUGCUGCAUGGUUGUCGUCAGCUCGUGCCGUGAGGUGUCGGCUUAAGUGCCAUAACGAGCGCAACCCUUGUUGUCAGUUACUAACAGGUCAUGCUGAGGACUCUGACAAGACUGCCAUCGUAAGAUGUGAGGAAGGUGGGGAUGACGUCAAAUCAGCACGGCCCUUACGUCCGGGGCUACACACGUGUUACAAUGGGGGGUACAGAGGGCCGCUACCACGCGAGUGGAUGCCAAUCCCCAAAACCUCUCUCAGUUCGGACUGGAGUCUGCAACCCGACUCCACGAAGCUGGAUUCGCUAGUAAUCGCGCAUCAGCCACGGCGCGGUGAAUACGUUCCCGGGCCUUGUACACACCGCCCGUCAAGCCAUGGGAUCCGUGGGUACCUGAAGUGCGUAACCGCGAGGAGCGCCCUAGGGUAAAACUGGUGACUGGGGC